GAUCAUGGCUCAGGAUGAACGCUGACAGAAUGCUUAACACAUGCAAGUCUUUGGCAAAUCUGUGCUUGCACAGCCUAGCCAAGGCGGACGGGUGAGUAACGCGUAAAGAACUUGCCCUGCAGAUAGGGAUAACAGACGGAAACGACUGAUAACACCUGAUACAAUUGCCGGCACGCAUGUGCCUGGCAAUGAAAAGAGAUGCUGCAGGAGAG
Molecule: ribosomal RNA, 212 nt
Filed under: uncultured bacterium
Lineage: Bacteria
Description: partial 16S ribosomal RNA
Rfam family: Bacterial small subunit ribosomal RNA
Source: RNAcentral